This 570-nucleotide ribosomal RNA is filed under the name Lactobacillus sp. RNAcentral's name for it is "bacterial SSU rRNA". It matches the Rfam family "Bacterial small subunit ribosomal RNA", at positions 363 to 924 of the family's 1533-position model. Lineage: Bacteria; Bacillati; Bacillota; Bacilli; Lactobacillales; Lactobacillaceae. The record is from RNAcentral.
UCUUCACAAUGGACGAAAGUCUGAUGGAGCAACGCCGCGUGAGUGAAGAAGGUUUUAGGAUCGUAAAACUCUGUUGUUGGAGAAGAACAGGGACUAGAGUAACUGUUAGUCCUUUGACGGUAUCCAACCAGAAAGCCACGGCUAACUACGUGCCAGCAGCCGCGGUAAUACGUAGGUGGCAAGCGUUGUCCGGAUUUAUUGGGCGUAAAGCGAGCGCAGGCGGUUUUUUAAGUCUGAUGUGAAAGCCUUCGGCUUAACCGAAGAAGUGCAUUAGAAACUGGGAAACUUGAGUGCAGAAGAGGACAGUGGAACUCCAUGUGUAGCGGUGAAAUGCGUAGAUAUAUGGAAGAACACCAGUGGCGAAGGCGGCUGUCUGGUCUGUAACUGACGCUGAGGCUCGAAAGUAUGGGGAGCGAACAGGAUUAGAUACCCUGGUAGUCCAUACCGUAAACGAUGAAUGCUAAGUGUUGGAGGGUUUCCGCCCUUCAGUGCUGCAGCUAACGCAUUAAGCAUUCCGCCUGGGGAGUACGACCGCAAGGUUGAAACUCAAAGGAAUUGACGGGGGCCCCC